This 274-nucleotide ribosomal RNA is filed under the name uncultured bacterium. Its description in RNAcentral is "partial 16S ribosomal RNA". It matches the Rfam family "Bacterial small subunit ribosomal RNA", at positions 523 to 796 of the family's 1533-position model. The record is from RNAcentral.
AUACGGAGGGUGCGAGCGUUACUCGGAGUCACUGGGCGUAAAGCGUCCGUAGGCGGUCGGGUAAGUCGGGUGUGAAAGCCCCGGGCUCAACCUGGGAAGUGCACCCGAUACUGCUCGACUCGAGUGCGGGAGAGGAUGGCGGAAUUCCCGGUGUAGCGGUGAAAUGCGUAGAGAUCGGGAGGAACACCAGUGGCGAAGGCGGCCAUCUGGCCCGCAACUGACGCUGAGGGACGAAAGCGUGGGGAGCAAACAGGAUUAGAAACCCGUGUAGUCC